Long non-coding RNA from Amphimedon queenslandica, 599 nucleotides. RefSeq lists it as uncharacterized. The transcript is spliced from 7 exons. The record is from RefSeq and is a predicted model, not a curated record. NCBI's taxonomy places the organism in Eukaryota, Metazoa, Porifera, Demospongiae, Haplosclerida, Niphatidae.
AAGGAUUUAAAAUAGAUCUGUUACUCUGUUGUGGUGAUUUUCAAGCAAUUAGAGAUCAAGAUGAUCUUAACUGUAUGGCAGUCCCUGACAAGUAUAAGGAAAUUGGAUCCUUCCACAAAUCGCAGGGUUUUUGGGAGGAGCAUUUGUCCCCUUGGCUUCGGAUUGAACUUGAUGUAUUUGAUCAGUCAUUUUAACUAUAAUUCCUAUUUAUAUUCAAAAUGCUAGAAACCUCUACUCCAUCAAGUUCACUGAUAAAUCUUCUUUAUGGUGAAGAUGAUGAUGAGAAGGUUAGGCCUCCUUUGACAAUACAGCUACCAUCUUCCCCCAGACCAACACACUGAGCUGUUAAAUCUAAAAGAGCUUCAUCAAUAGUACGAUCCCCAUAUUUGGCAGCUGUUGCUCCACCACGUCAAUCUGUUGUACCUCGUCACUCUCCAUCAACUAAAAGAUCAUCACCAGUCAAAGCUACACAGGUUUACAAAAAUGGAUUAUUCGUACCUAUCAAAAGAAAAUCAGCUUCAAACAAAGCAACUGAUGUUGAUUCUACAGUGGAUUAUGCUGGUAAGACUGCACUGGAUCUUCGUGAUGAGCUAACGGCA